RNAcentral lists this ribosomal RNA (1368 nucleotides) under uncultured bacterium. RNAcentral's name for it is "bacterial SSU rRNA". It matches the Rfam family "Bacterial small subunit ribosomal RNA". The record is from RNAcentral.
GAGUUUGAUCCUGGCUCAGGACGAACGCUGGCGGCGCGCCUAACACAUGCAAGUCGAACGAGCGAGAGAGAGCUUGCUUUCUCGAGCGAGUGGCGAACGGGUGAGUAACGCGUGAGGAACCUGCCUCAAAGAGGGGGACAACAGUUGGAAACGACUGCUAAUACCGCAUAAGCCCACAGCUCGGCAUCGAGCAGAGGGAAAAGGAGCAAUCCGCUUUGAGAUGGCCUCGCGUCCGAUUAGCUAGUUGGUGAGGUAACGGCCCACCAAGGCGACGAUCGGUAGCCGGACUGAGAGGUUGAACGGCCACAUUGGGACUGAGACACGGCCCAGACUCCUACGGGAGGCAGCAGUGGGGAAUAUUGCACAAUGGGGGAAACCCUGAUGCAGCGACGCCGCGUGGAGGAAGAAGGUCUUCGGAUUGUAAACUCCUGUUGUUGAGGAAGAUAAUGACGGUACUCAACAAGGAAGUGACGGCUAACUACGUGCCAGCAGCCGCGGUAAAACGUAGGUCACAAGCGUUGUCCGGAAUUACUGGGUGUAAAGGGAGCGCAGGCGGGAAGGCAAGUUGGAAGUGAAAUCCAUGGGCUCAACCCAUGAACUGCUUUCAAAACUGUUUUUCUUGAGUAGUGCAGAGGUAGGCGGAAUUCCCGGUGUAGCGGUGGAAUGCGUAGAUAUCGGGAGGAACACCAGUGGCGAAGGCGGCCUACUGGGCACCAACUGACGCUGAGGCUCGAAAGUGUGGGUAGCAAACAGGAUUAGAUACCCUGGUAGUCCACACUGUAAACGAUGAUUACUAGGUGUUGGAGGAUUGACCCCUUCAGUGCCGCAGUUAACACAAUAAGUAAUCCACCUGGGGAGUACGACCGCAAGGUUGAAACUCAAAGGAAUUGACGGGGGCCCGCACAAGCAGUGGAGUAUGUGGUUUAAUUCGACGCAACGCGAAGAACCUUACCAAGUCUUGACAUCCUGCGACGCACAUAGAAAUAUGUGUUUCCUUCGGGACGCAGAGACAGGUGGUGCAUGGUUGUCGUCAGCUCGUAUCGUGAGAUGUUGGGUUAAGUCCCGCAACGAGCGCAACCCUUAUGGUCAGUUACUACGCAAGAGGACUCUGGCCAGACUGCUGUUGACAAAACGGAGGAAGGUGGGGAUGACGUCAAAUCAUCAUGCCCUUUAUGACUUGGGCUACACACGUACUACAAUGGCGUUAAACAAAGAGAAGCAAGACCGCGAGGUGGAGCAAAACUCAGAAACAACGUCCCAGUUCGGACUGCAGGCUGCAACUCGCCUGCACGAAGUCGGAAUUGCUAGUAAUCGCAGAUCAGCAUGCUGCGGUGAAUACGUUCCCGGGCCUUGUACACACCGCCCGUC